GAUGAAGAACGCAGCGAAAUGCGAUAAGUAAUGUGAAUUGCAGAAUUCAGUGAAUCAUCGAAUCUUUGAACGCACGUUGCGCCCGCCAGUAUUCUGGCGGGCAUGCCUGUUCGAGCGUCAUUACAACCCUCAGGCCCCCGGGCCUGGCGUUGGGGAUCGGCGGAGCCCCCCGUGGGCACACGCCGUCCCCCAAAUACAGUGGCGGUCCCGCCGCAGCUUCCAUCGCGUAGUAGCUAACACCUCGCGACUGGAGAGCGGCGCGGCCACGCCGUAAAACACCCAACUCUUCUGAAGUUGACCUCGAAUCAGGUAGGAAUACCCGCUGAACUUAAGCAUAUCAAUAAGCGGAGGA
RNAcentral lists this unclassified non-coding RNA (352 nucleotides) under soil metagenome. RNAcentral's name for it is "partial contains 5.8S ribosomal RNA, internal transcribed spacer 2, and large subunit ribosomal RNA". The stretch from base 1 to 120 matches the Rfam family "5.8S ribosomal RNA", at positions 35 to 154 of the family's 154-position model. The record is from RNAcentral.